UGGUGGUCACAUGUCUUCAGUGUCUU
Molecule: non-coding RNA, 26 nt
Filed under: Mus musculus (house mouse)
Lineage: Eukaryota; Metazoa; Chordata; Mammalia; Rodentia; Muridae
Source: RNAcentral